GUUUGAUCAUGGCUCAGAUUGAACGCUGGCGGCAGGCCUAACACAUGCAAGUCGAGCGGAUGAGAAGAGCUUGCUCUUCGAUUCAGCGGCGGACGGGUGAGUAAUGCCUAGGAAUCUGCCUGGUAGUGGGGGAUAACGUUCGGAAACGGACGCUAAUACCGCAUACGUCCUACGGGAGAAAGCAGGGGACCUUCGGGCCUUGCGCUAUCAGAUGAGCCUAGGUCGGAUUAGCUAGUUGGUGGGGUAAUGGCUCACCAAGGCGACGAUCCGUAACUGGUCUGAGAGGAUGAUCAGUCACACUGGAACUGAGACACGGUCCAGACUCCUACGGGAGGCAGCAGUAGGGAAUCUUC
RNAcentral lists this ribosomal RNA (353 nucleotides) under Aplanochytrium stocchinoi. RNAcentral describes it as "partial Bacterial small subunit ribosomal RNA". It matches the Rfam family "Bacterial small subunit ribosomal RNA", at positions 11 to 366 of the family's 1533-position model. The record is from RNAcentral. Lineage: Eukaryota; Bigyra; Thraustochytrida; Thraustochytriidae.